GAGUUUGAUCCUGGCUCAGAUUGAACGCUGGCGGCAUGCCUUACACAUGCAAGUCGAACGGUAACGCGGGGCAACCUGGCGACGAGUGGCGAACGGGUGAGUAAUGCAUCGGAACGUGCCCAGUAGUCGGGGGAUAGCCCGGCGAAAGCCGGAUUAAUACCGCAUACGACCUACGGGUGAAAGCGGGGGACCGCAAGGCCUCGCGCUAUUGGAGCGGCCGAUGUCAGAUUAGCUAGUUGGUCGGGGUAAAGGCCUACCAAGGCGACGAUCUGUAGCUGGUCUGAGAGGACGACCAGCCACACUGGGACUGAGACACGGCCCAGACUCCUACGGGAGGCAGCAGUGGGGAAUUUUGGACAAUGGGGGGCAACCCUGAUCCAGCCAUGCCGCGUGCGGGAAGAAGGCCUUCGGGUUGUAAACCGCUUUUGUCGGGGAAGAAACGGUCUGCGCUAAUACCGCGGGCUAAUGACGGUACCCGAAGAAUAAGCACCGGCUAACUACGUG
RNAcentral lists this ribosomal RNA (504 nucleotides) under uncultured Methylibium sp. RNAcentral describes it as "bacterial SSU rRNA". It matches the Rfam family "Bacterial small subunit ribosomal RNA", at positions 9 to 507 of the family's 1533-position model. Lineage: Bacteria; Pseudomonadati; Pseudomonadota; Betaproteobacteria; Burkholderiales; Sphaerotilaceae. The record is from RNAcentral.